RNAcentral lists this long non-coding RNA (1749 nucleotides) under Salmo salar (Atlantic salmon). RNAcentral's name for it is "lncRNA (ENSSSAG00000082368.1, ENSSSAG00000084662.1)". The record is from RNAcentral. Lineage: Eukaryota; Metazoa; Chordata; Actinopteri; Salmoniformes; Salmonidae.
AGAUGGAAUUAAAAUUAUGGAAUUAAAAGUUAGAGAAGAUAGUCUAAGUAGGCUCGUACUUGAUAUUCUGAAUGGAGUUAUUGUUGUCUGUAGGAUGAGGAAGCUCAUGAUCUGCAGCCUUAAUUAGCCUAGCAAGCUAACGUUAUCUAUCUUAACUAGCUUCUCCUAGUUUGAUGCAGUCAAAGGGGCCUGCUAGAGCCUCUCUCUCUCUCGCGCUUUAUCACCUCCGGUUAAUGAAGUAGCUUAAAAAAAACACAACUGAUUGGCUCAAACUCAUUAAGAAGGAAAGAAAUUCCACAAAUUAACUUUUAAGAAGGCUCACCUGAUAAUUGAAAUGCAUUCCAGGUGACUACCUCAUGAAGCUGGUUGAGAGAAUGCCAAGAGUGUGCAAAGCUGUCAUAAAGGGUAAAGGGUGGCUAUGUGAAGAAUCUCAAAUAUAAAAUAUUUGAUUUGUUUAACCAUUUUUUGGUUACUACAUGAUUCCAUAUGUGUUAUCUCAUAGUUGUGAUGUCUUCACUUUUAUUCUACAAUGUAGAAAAUAGUAAAAAAUAAAGAAAACCCCUUGAAUGAGGUGUUCUAAAACUUUUGACCGGUACUGUCUGUCCCCCCUUUCACAUUCACUCACUGUCACUUUCUCUACCUCCUCCUCUCUUUCACACACCUUCUCAGUCUCCCCGUCAAAUCCAAGUUUACAAUAUACAGCGGUUCUUAAUUGUACAAUGAAAUGCUGACUAGCCAAUGUAAAGUUAAUAAAGUUAAGUGAUUCCUUAACAGUGUAAAGUAGAACAGCAAAGAAAUCAAUAGACAAGAAGCACAAGGAUCGGUAAAAAAAAGACAAGCCAAUGAAAUGGAUAUGAAAGAUCACAAGCAGACUAAUGUUUUGGCUGGAUACAGUGUGGGAGGUUUGAUUGACAGCAGGGGCGUGUGGUGCGCUGUAGAAAUGUUACGUAUUCUAUUCCUGUGCUGUAGGUGACAUGUCGUGUCUUGUGUCCAGUGACACUCAGCAACCUACCUUAUGAAUGGACCUUCAAUAGCUUCUGCCCUUUUACCCACAAAUCACUUCUGAUCACUUCUGCACUGCCAAUGUUAUGAACAUUAGUCCAUAGCCAAAUUCUGUUUCUCCCAACAGGGACUAUUGGGGGAAGGGGCUAGGGGCUAUUAGAGGGGAAGGAUACAAAAAAUAAAGCAGUGGAACUUGGCUUCCAGGUCAACAUUUGAAUUUGAGGGUCUUGUUUUUUGUUUUUUUUAACGAGGCCUUGGUCAAGCUGUGUUGUGUUGAGUCCUUUACUCUACAGCACCCCCUAGUGACCUGCUGGAGAUCUGCGAGUUGAGCCAGGAGAAGAUGAGCUCUGUAUUUGCAGACACUAACGUGUACAUGCUUCACAUGAUGUACCAGGCCAUGGGAAUCUGUCUGUACAUGCAGGACUGGGACGGAGCCAUGAGCUACGGAGAGAAGAUCAUACAACCAUACAGAUGAACCAAAAGAAGGCAGGAGCUUACUGGGGGAAAUGGAAGAACUGGUUUAGUUCCCACCCAACUACACUGAACAAAAAUAAAACGCAACAUAUAACAAUUUCAAAGAUUUUGCUGAGGUACAGUUCAUAUAAGGAAAUCAGUCAAUUUAAAUAAAUUCAUUAGGCUCUAAUCUAUGGAUUUCACAUGACUGGGAAUACAGAUAUGCAUCUGUUGGUCACAGAUACCUUAAGAAAAAAAAAAAGUAGGGCCGUGGAUCAGAAAACCAGUCAGUAU